UGGAACAGCGGGCUUGUUUGAAAUGGAAAAGCGUCCGGGUAGCUUUUGAUAGAGAAGAACACGAAGACGAAGCAGCUGCUUUAUAAGUGGGAUGCGCUGUUGAGCGCAACAUCCCGAGGGGUUCGUGCUAAUUGUACGGACAUUGUGACAGCUGGUUAAAUUGCACGCCUUGAGAAGGCAAUAACAAGAUGUAUGUCUGGAGAAGUGCUUUGUUGUCAUAACGAGAGCUCCAAAUAAAGACUCUUCACACCUACCACCCUUCUCUUCAGACCACUCAGACCCACACCUACCACCCUUCUCUUCAGACCACUCAGACCCACACCUACCACCCUUCUCUUCAGACCACUCAGACCCACACCUACCACCCUUCUCUUCAGACCAUUCAGAUCCACACCUACCACCCUUCUCUUCAGACCACUCAGACCCACACCCACCACCCUUCUCUUCAGACCACUCUGACCCACACCUACCACCCUUCUCUUCAGACCACUCAGACCCACACCCACCACCCUUCUCUUCAGACCACUCAGACCCACGCCUACCACCCUUCUCUUCAGACCACUCAGACCCACACCCACCACCCUUCUCUUCAGACCACUCAGACCCACACCUACCACCCUUCUCUUCAGACCUACGGCUGACAUCUUUAGUCUCUCUAUCUCUCUCUCUUUCUUUCUAUCCAUCCUCUUGAUACAGAUCUCUUGAUCCAUCCUCUGGCUGCAUUUUAAGUAAGUGGAGACUUUUUCUCUUUUAAUUCAGCUUUCUUCCCAUUUCUUGUGUUUUCAAAAACAAACCAGGUUGUAGUUUUAAAAUGCAAACCAACUGGAGGAGAUUAUUCAAAAAUGGUAUCUUAAAAUAAGUAACAAAAUCCCACUGGCCCAGGUAUUGUAUCAUCUGUAACCAAAUCCCACUGGCCCAGGUACUGUUUCAUCUGUAACCAAAUCCCACUGGCCCGGGUAUUGUUUCAUCUGUAACCAAAUCCCACUGGCCCAGGUACUGUUUCAUCUGUAACCAAAUCCCACUGGCCCGGGUACUGUUUCAUCUGUAACCAAAUCCCACUGGCCCAGGUACUGUUUCAUCUGUCAACUAAUGACACUCAUUGCACUGUGGUCCUGAGACUAUGGCAGGUAGCCUACAUCUAGGUUACAAUAGUAGUCAACAGUUAGUAUGACACAUUACGUUACAGUGUGGCAGGUUAAAGCCUCAGGCUUAGUUUUAUUACUAGACGAGGUCCAUUAUCAGAUCUGACCCAUAUGAUUCAGUCAUUGAAACCCAUGUCACCUUCAAACACAUACACAGCACUUCUUUAGUGGGUUUGAGAAGGUUCAGGGCUUGAUGUUUAAUGUGAGCUCAACGUUAGCUGCUUAGUUGGCCAAACUCUCUUUAUUAAUUGCUAUUGUUAGUAUAGUUUUUAUCUCACAGUCUCUAGUUCUCCUUCUCAAUUCAAGCCCAUUGCCAGAGUGGACCUCCCUGGUGCAUUCCAUCAGUCAAAGUUGUGUAUAGGGCUAUUCUUUCUGACACUUUUGUAUCCACCUUUCAUGCAGAAUGUCUCCUGGCUCCAGCCGUAAGCUGUGUCCUAGUUGUAACACAUCAAUAGGAGUAGCAUCAAAGAAGUGCACGUUCUGUGGUGCAACAAUACAGCUAAAGGUCAAGUUAGAGGCCCAAAAAAGGAAGGCUACAGAUGAAUGGGAAAAUAAGACAAUGAAACAUGGAAGGUACAUAGGUUCCACAAGGUAGGAGUGUACCCCCUGCUACACUUUGUCGUCGACUGCACUGUGUCCUCACAGUGGUAUGACGAGUCAGACCUCAAUGGCAACAAUCCAAAGGUUGUAUGAGGCAAUUGUGAAAGGUAUUUGGACAGAAAUAUGUAUGUUUGUCUACCUUAAUAAGUCUCUAUCCCUCAACCACCACAUCCGUCAGACUGUAAAAAACGAAUUAUUCCACUUAGACAAAUUCGCCAAAGUCAGCCCCUCCCUCUCCUGUACUGCGGGCCGAACCUCUCAUCCAUGUUUUCUUCUUCUCCCGAACUCACUACUCCCCAGCACUAACAGACUCCCUCGAUAAGCUCCAAAUGGUUCAAAACUCAGCAGCCCAUCUUCUAACCCACACUAAAUCAUCCUGGCAGCAUAUCACCCCCAUCCUCUGUGAACUCCACUGGCUCCCUGUCUCCCACCGCAUGAAUUACAAGAUCCUCCUGGCCGAAAAAAGCUCUCCCCCACCUUGCUACCCCUUACCUCUCUGACCUUCUCUCCUACCAGACCUCAUGCUCUUUCCGCUCAACCACAGUUGGCCAACUUGUCAUUGGGGCGGCAGCGUAGCCUAGUGGUUAGAGCGUUGGACUAGUAACCGAAAGGUUGCAAGAUCAAAUCCCUGAGCUGAACAAGGUACAAAUCUGUUGUUCUGCCACUGUUCCUAGGCCAUCAUUGAAGAUAAGAAUUUGUUCUUAACUGACUUGCCUAGUUAAAUAAAGGUAAAAUAAAUAAAAAAUACCCAGGUCCAAGCUCCAGAGUUUCAGUGACAGGGCCUUGUCCAGGGUUGCUCCUAGGCUCUGGAACUCCCUUCCUCCAGCCAUCUGUGACUCUAAGUCCAUCAUCUUUCAGUCCUGCCUAAAAACCCACCUCUUCACCAUGGCCUACCACUGUUUCACACAUAUGCGCAACACCUGCUAUCUCACUCACACAUCACACCAUUUCCUUGGGCCCUUCUUACCUCUGUUUAUACCUGGUUCUAACAUGCAUUAUAUGUCCUGAUCUUGUCCACAGUCUGAUUAUUCCCACAUUUUCAGACAGGUGUAGACGAUUAAAAGAAGCAUUUUGAUCAGAUCUUUCUGACCACGUCUGGAGUUGACAGUAAAACCAUUUAAAUCAUCCUGCCUUCUAAAAUCAUUGACAGGUGGCACCAUUGACUUAUGGAAUAUAUAUGUCUUAAAAUAAAUAAAAAAGUAUUAUUUUGAAAGAAUAUCUGUCAAAGAAUUAGCAUACAAGGCGGGACCAGUAUAUCUGUUCACAAUGCGGACACAGUGGACUGAUAAGACCAUCAGAAUGUGGACAAGAUCAGGACAAAGGACGCAUGUUUGCACCAAAAAAUUUUGUUUAAUGUUUUUCUUCCUUUUCUUUAGUCUGCUGUUGUUUAGUUAGAUUAUUGAUUGUUUGUUAGUUUCUACAAUUGUAAAGCUAUGUAUGUUUCAUGUAUAAUUAUUGUUAUUAUUAAAGUAGAGGAGUUAGUUCAGGCAAGCAACAUUUCAACACAUUCUUUUCACAUAUCCUGUGUAGAAGUUUAUUUAUAAAAUGGGUGGUUCCAGCCCUGAAUGCUGAUUGUCUGAAUGCCUUGGUAUAUCAGACCGUAUGACAAAACAUUUAUUUUUACUGCUCUAAUUACAUUGGUAGCCAGUUUAUAAUAGCAAUAAGGCACCUCAGGGGUUUGUGGUAUAUGGCCAAUAUAUCACAGUUAAGGGCUGUAUCCAGGCACUCCGCAUUGCGUCAUGCAUAAGAACAGCCCUUAGCCGUGGUAUAUUGCCAUAUACCACACCUCGGGCCUUAUUGCUUAAAUAUACCGGAAUUUCUGGACUAUUAAGCGCACCUGAAUAUAAGCCGCACCCACUGAAUUAAAAUGUUUUUUUUAUUUUGAACAUAAAUAAGCCGCACAUGUCUAUAAGCCGCAGGUGCCUACCGGUACAUUGAAACAAAUGAACUUUACACAGGCUUUAACGAAAAACGGCUUGUAACAAAAAUAAAUAGGCUUUAACGAAACACGGCCUGUAACAAAAAUAAAUAGGCUUUAACAAAACACGGCUUGUAAAAAAAUAAAAAAAAUAGCAGUAAGCUUUAGUUGUCUUUUUGCCCUGAGUCAAUUCCUCACGCUGCUGUUUCCAACGUCUUAUCAUCGACUCAUUAAUACCAAGCUCCCGUGCAGCAGCUCUAUUUCCUUUUCCAACAGCCAGAUCAAUCGCCUUCAACUUGAAAGCUGCAUCAUAUGCAUUUCUCCGUGUCUUUGCCAUGAUGAGGGUGACGAAAUGACUACCGUAAUCAGAAUGAUGGGAAGUUUGAGAGCGCUCGAUUUAAUCUAAACAGUAAACAAAAAAGUUGUUUGACCUUAACCCGUUCGGCAAUUUCAUUGGUCUAAUGAAAGCUUCAUGCCGCCAAAAAACUGAGCACGUCACAGAAUGUGUUUUUUUGGAGAGAAAAAAAUUGAAAGUGGGAAAAAUCCAUAUAUUAGCCACUUCAUUGUUUAAGCCGCGAGGUUCAAAGCCUGGGAAAAAAAGUUGCGGCUUAUAGUCCGGAAUUUACGGUACAUGCUCACCUCUGCCAAUUGGAAACUGUUGCCCACUUGUCUGUCCCAUUUCCUUAAUAUGUUCUAUUUCACAGUGGCAAUCAACACCCAUACCCCCACACUACAACCCUCCAACCCUCCUCAACCAGGUUGAACUCCCAAUAUCCCCCACCACUCAGGAGCCCAGCUACACCCCCAUCCUCAACCAGGUUGAACCCCCAAUAUCCCCCACCACUCAGGAGACCAGCUACACCCACACCAAACCAAAGAAGACGGAGAGAAAGUCCUGUCACCCUCAAAAAACCCUCCAACUCACUGAGCAUGACAGUCAACCCCAUCCAAUCCUAUCCAACCCCAUCCAACCCCAUCCUACCCCAUCCAACCCCAUCCUACCUACCAACCCCAUCCAAUCCUAUCCAACCCCAUCCAACCCCAUCCUACCCCAUCCAACCCCAUCCUACCUACCAACCCCAUCCAACCCCAUCCCAUCCUACCCCAUCCAACCCCAUCAUACCUACCAACCCCAUCCUACCCCACCCCAUCCCAUCCUACCCUAUCCUACCCCAUCCAACCCCAUCCAACCCCAUCCUAAUCCUACCCACACC
Molecule: long non-coding RNA, 4874 nt
Filed under: Salmo salar (Atlantic salmon)
Lineage: Eukaryota; Metazoa; Chordata; Actinopteri; Salmoniformes; Salmonidae
Description: lncRNA (ENSSSAG00000098825.1)
Source: RNAcentral